Molecule: long non-coding RNA, 2085 nt
Filed under: Otus sunia (Oriental scops-owl)
Lineage: Eukaryota; Metazoa; Chordata; Aves; Strigiformes; Strigidae
Description: lncRNA (ENSOSUG00000008000.1)
Source: RNAcentral
GGCCGGGGCAGCGUGAGCGGCCCGCGCUUACCCGCGGGAUCGCAGGUUUUGAAGGCAUGCCUGAAAGACAAACCUGGACACUUUUGAUGGAACAUUUUUCAUUUUCAACCAAUUUCCUCCCCCUCUCACUGACACAGGAAAAUGGGCCUCUAGAUGCUCUUCUCUGGGAGAGGCAAGUCCCCUGGAUGCUGCUCAAAGAGAUUUCACCCCUGGAGACCCUCCAGGGGGCUGCAUGGACAGGGCUGCCCCAGGUCUGGACCCUUCUGCCCUCCAUCUGCUGAACCCUACACUCUUGGCCAGACAACAUGAAGUCUCCAGUGUGGGUAGUUCACCCCGGUGGACUGAGUACGAUCUCACUUUUCAGAUGUUUUGGACAGAAGGACCCUUUUUCUGCUCACACAGAUGAUAAUUAUGUUUUGGGAGUAACACAGCAGUUCAGAGCAGAGGGGCGUGGGGUAGGUGUAGAUUGGCUGUAAGCGUAGUGUUGGUAUGGGUGGUCUGCUUUCACUCACCAUUGCCCCUCUCCACCUUGGGCACUGGGGUCAGCCCCAGGACCUGAGGGAUUUGACAGUGUAGGUAACCCAUGAGCAUGCUUUGACUCGGAGAGGGGGAUAAAUGGAGUCAUCACAGAUCAUAAGAUCACAGGGAAAUUCAGGUUGCAAGCAACCUCAGGAGGUCUCUAGUCCAACCUCCUGUUCCAAGCAGGGUCAGCUGUGAGACCACAGCAGGUUAUGGCCUAGAAAUAAAAAUAGUGUUGCAAAGAAGGAUUAUGUAAAGACCAAACACAUUUUGCAGAACAAGAGGAACAAGGCAAGAAAAAAAAAAAAAGAUGAUAAUUUGAUAUUCUUGAACACCUACUUCAUAGAAUCAGAAUCAUGGAAUGGUUUGGUUUGGAAUGGACCUUAGAGAUCAUCUAGUUCCAACCCCCCUGCCACGGGCAGGGACACCUUCCACUAAACCAGGUUGCUCAGAGCCCCGUCCAACCUGGCCUUGAACACUGCCAGGGAGGGGGCAGCCACAACUUCUCUGGGAAACCUGUUCCAGUGCCUCACCACCCUCACAGUGAAGAGCUGCUUCUUUACAUCUAAUCUAAAUCUGCCCUCUUUCGGUUUAAAACUAUUACCCCUUGUGCUAUCACUACACGCCCUUGUAAAAAGUCCCUCCCCAUCUUUCCUGUAGCCCCCUUUAAGUACUGGAAGGCCGCUAUAAGGUCUCCCUAGAGCCUUCUUUUCUCCAGGCUGAACAGCCCCAACUCUCUCAGCCUGUCCUCAUAGGGGAGAUGCUCCAGCCCCCUGAUCAUCUUUGUGGCCUCCUCUGGACCUGCCCCAGCAGGUCCAUGUCCUUCUUACGUUGGGGACCCCAGAGCUGGACACAGCACGGCAGGUGGGGUCUCUUGAGAGCAGAGUAGAAGGGGAGAAUCACCUUCCUUGACCUGCUGGUCAUGCUUCAUUCCCAUUUUUACCAUGAUUCAUUUGUUUAUUUUUUCUAUAUAGAUUUUAGGCUUCUGGUUUGUGUAUUAAAUUGGUCUGUAAAUUACCUAGAACAUCUUCAGGCAUAAAAUAAAGAAUUUAUAGGAAUAUUAAAAUCAACCAAUGUAUAAAGAAAUGUGAUAUGCUAUUUCUUUAUAGUCUAAAAUAAUUAUUUAUCCCCAAUGAAAGUCAGCCUUCACUGGAGAGAAAAAUAACCUCAGUUUAUUGUUCUUUGGGUUUGAAUAGAAAGUCUCUAUUAUUUUAGUACCAGCUGAACUUAGAGAGAGACCUGUAAUGUAAGCCUAAUAUAAGUCAUUUGUUGUUAUUAAAAGUUAAAGAGUAACUGCAGAUAGUAAUUACAAAAUUACUUUAAAUUUCUCCUUAGAAAAUGGCCUCCAUUACUACAUUCACUGCCCGCCCCCCAAAUCUCACCCCUAACAAAACCACUUUUAAAAUAUUUUACUGAUGAAACUGUAUUUUUUUUCCUUUCACAUCACAAGAAAAUGUUUAAUUAUUCCAUUGACCUAUUCAGGAUCUGUGUCUAACAUCUUAGGAAAGUGAAGAAAAUACAAAUUAAAACACAAACUCAAGUCAUACAGUAUGUUGUAGAAAAAAA